This 501-nucleotide ribosomal RNA is filed under the name uncultured bacterium. RNAcentral describes it as "partial 16S ribosomal RNA". It matches the Rfam family "Bacterial small subunit ribosomal RNA", at positions 30 to 523 of the family's 1533-position model. The record is from RNAcentral.
AUUGAACGCUGGCGGCAGGCUUAACACAUGCAAGUCGAGCGGAGAUGAGGUGCUUGCACCUUAUCUUAGCGGCGGACGGGUGAGUAAUGCUUAGGAAUCUGCCUAUUAGUGGGGGACAACAUUCCGAAAGGAAUGCUAAUACCGCAUACGUCCUACGGGAGAAAGCAGGGGAUCUUCGGACCUUGCGCUAAUAGAUGAGCCUAAGUCGGAUUAGCGAGUUGGGGGGGUAAAGGCCUACCAAGGCGACGAUCUGUAGCGGGUCUGAGAGGAUGAUCCGCCAAACUGGGACUGAGACACGGCCCAGACUCCUACGGGAGGCAGCAGUGGGGAAUAUUGGACAAUGGGGGGAACCCUGAUCCAGCCAUGCCGCGUGUGUGAAGAAGGCCUUAUGGUUGUAAAGCACUUUAAGCGAGGAGGAGGCUCUUUUGGUUAAUACCCAAGAUGAGUGGACGUUACUCGCAGAAUAAGCACCGGCUAACUCUGUGCCAGCCGCCGCAGUAA